Long non-coding RNA from Equus caballus (horse), 5831 nucleotides. Lineage: Eukaryota; Metazoa; Chordata; Mammalia; Perissodactyla; Equidae. The record is from Ensembl.
GGCCCCCGUCUGCCGCCGGGUCGUUAACGGGCAGCCAGGUCGCCUGCAGCACUACGGCCCCUCCCGCGCACGCGCGCCCUCUGGCGGCCGAGGCCGGAACAGCCCCUGAGCGUCCGUGCGGGCGGUGCGGGCGAUGCCGGCCGCGCGGCCACCCUGGUCCCUGCCUUCCAGCCGGGCUGCAGCGGAAAUCAGUGACAAGUGGGACGAGCAGCCAGAUGGCACGCAGUCAGCUCCCGGGUGCACAGAGAAAGCGACGCGAGCUGCCGAGGACGACGGAAUCACCAGUGAGUUCAGCCGCCACGCAUCAGAGGUCAUGAAACACCUGUCGGCUUUGUUUGUUUUACCAUUGAUGCAUUGACCAGACGCAAAUAGCAUAAAUUGUCAAAAGACCUGAAUAUAGAGAAUUUACACAAGGAAAAAACUUUCCAUCAUAUGAAAAUAAUGCUAAGUUACCAAAAUGUCCUGGCCUCCAUUUCUGGCCAGACUGUGAAGGAACUUGGUUCACGACAACGUUCCAGGACUGGGUGAAACUCGUGAUUCCAUCAGAGGACAGUUUGGUGCAGGACGAACCACAAGCCGUAAAAAUGAUCCUGCCCUAUGAUGGACCCCAUCAGCAGUCCCGGACCUGGGAAACAGGCGAAAGAUAUAAUUAAAGGAAGAAAAACGCUUUUGGAUGGGAGAUAAAUAUAGGAGGAUUCGUUAGAGUCAUACUGAGAAUGGACAGGCGGGCCGAGGGUUACUCCUUUUGAAGGGGACUGAGUAAGCGCGCUUCCCAACUUCCACUAAACUGUUUGAAGGGUUUAUUUUCCUUUAUUUGAAAAACCUAACACAGACGUUUUCCAAUGUGGGCUGUAUAUCCAGAAUAAUGAAGAAAGUAGCUUAAUUUGUCUUUGGAGAUAAAUAGCCACUUGAAGAUGUGCCUUAAGACAGCAAGCAUUGAAUUACCCUUACAUUUGUGGAUACUUAUUCUUUUUAACUUUUAAAACGUGAAGUAUAGUCUUUUAUUAAUAAAUCAAAUUUCUAUGUAAUUUUAUUCCUGUAAUGUUAAGUGUAGCCCUAAAACUUUGCUGUUAAUUCCCCAAAGAUCAUUCCUUUUCUCUUUACCACAAUAUUCAUGUCUGUAAGUCCAUUUCUGAGUAUAAAUGUUUAGAUAUUAUCGGGUCAGACGUGGAAGGCUGAAAGCUUUAAAAAGUCCUCCUGGGCCGGAAGGGUCCGGCCAGUGUGCCCUCAGUGCCCUGCGCUGCGUUCUUCCUCCCCACGGCAGCUCUUAUUCUAAUUCUUCCUCUGCGAGUGAACCUCGAGCCAUCUCCCCUGGUGCGUCUUGGGUCUUUAGCGCUGAGUCCUCAGAGAGUCGAGCCGUGACCUGUCCACAGUUGGUAGAUUUGUUGUGAAAACACCAGGACCUGCAGCCAGAGCUCUGUGGUGUCCUCCUGAAGGGUGGGGAGAGGGCCUCCCCUUGUCCUUUGGGUCACCUGGAGACCCUCUGCCUCGGAGCAGCGGCCUGGGUGUGAGAAAGUCUCAGCUGGUGAGGAAGGAGGUGGAGGUUUGCGAUUCUCCCACACGGAAUAUGAAGCCCGAAGAACUCUCCCCCAGGCCUCGGCCUCCGCAGACUCGGGGCUGGUGCAGCUCCGGGAGCAGCCGCUGCUCAGGAAGCUCCGGGCCCGAGCUGGGGGAGGGCCACGGUCAGGGCCGGGCUGGUUUACGAUUGUAACCAAGCAUCUCAGGAAACCUUCCUCUUUCCCUCGGCUUCUACCCUCUGCGCUGGCCUCACCUCUCGGUGGAGGGUUCUAUGAUACUUCUACUGUCUUAUCCAUUUUCGAGAAACAAACCCUUCCCCACGUGGGUUAGCUGUGACUAACAAACUUCUCUACCUAACCUUUUUUCCGUUAGAAAAUACGUUCCAAGCUCCCCCGCAGGACUCUGGGAACAAGAGAGAUCUCUGCGCCCGGGCAGCCCCUCCAGAGAGGAGACUCCUUCGGGAGGGAGGAAGCAGGGGCGGGAGCAGGCGUUGCAGGGCCUCCCAGCAGCCGUGCGCCCCGGGCAGUUAUCCGCUGCCUGUCUGGGCCUCUGUUUCCCUACAUUUAGAGCCAGAUAGUCGUACAUGCAGAGCUCUGAGAGUCAGAGACAAGAUAGGAGAGUGUCCAAAAACAGGCUCUGCACACUGAAUAAAACAAAGCAGAAGCACAAGUUUAUUGCAAGGCUUUCGACCGGCAAGCCAGGAAACUCAAGGCUAUGGGAGCAGUGAGUUCCAAGUUGCUCACGGACCACGGGAUUUUCCUGGGAUAAAUGCACAAGAUAUUCGGCUUCUGCAGCUGAUCGGUGGCCCAGCAGUCUUCUUUCUUACUUGGAUCCGGGUAGCUGAGUCAGGGGAAGUCCAGAGAUGGCGUGAACGGACUUGGCAUUUGGGGAUUGGCUGGUGAACUCUGCUGAUUUCCGAGAUCUGUCAAUUCCUGUUAAUAAGGCUCCAGGAGGGUGCCUUCCUUUCCCAGGAUCACCCUUCAAGUGUCACCUCAUGGGAGGUCACCAACCCUGGGCCAUGAGCCUCCUCCCCCACCUCGAAGACCUGAGCAGCAUCGGUGGACUCGUACAGCACACCCAUCCUUUCCCUCUUUCUUUCCAUUCCUUGCAGAAAAUAGCACAGUUGCUACUGCAGGGCUUUGAAUCGCAAGCCUGCUGGCUGAAGACACAGUGACUUUUCUCAAUUUUCUUAUAACACACGCCACGUGGAAUCAUCUCAUCCAACUGAGUUGGGCAGCAGGUGUCUCUUGUGCACAAAGAAAAAGGUUGUUUAUAGAAACCAGAAAUAUCACUUAUGCAGUUGUACCCUGACCGUCAGCCCUGUACGGCACUCAGUGUUGGUAAGACACACCUCUAAAUUCCAAGAGCUUAAAAUAUCCUCUAAGAGAGACGCACGUUCAAGAGCACGCAGCACGUGGUCACUACAGAGGAAGUGCCAGUGCAGGCCCCCUAGUACAAGGAGGGAGCUGUGAAUCCCCCUGGAAUAAACGGGAGGUGCUGAAGAGAGGAAAAAUUGAGAAGUCGAAUGGAUGUUGGUUGAACUUAACUAGCUGGAGCCGGACGGGCAUUCCGCUCAUGGCAAGUCGCCUGGGAGUGGGUUUGCCAGCAAGCACAAGGUCCGCGCAGGACCGCUGCAUGAGUGCUCACAUAACACAAUUAGUGCACAAUGGAACUACCGUCAUGAAAACUUCUUGGUUGCCCUAAAGCUCUUGGCUCAUGGUCUGAAAUAAGGUUGACUUUGUUUCUGUUGGAAUUCUGAAGGUUCUGGAUCUGGGUGAAAGGAUACCUUGGAGAUUUAGGGAGUUUAUUUUGGUUCUCAGAUGACAUACUGCCUGAGUUUAUGAUGCACCAAUGAAACUGAAAGUGAAGAUGGAAUCUAGUGGGGGUGCCCAGUGGCGCAGUGGUUAAGUUCGUGUGCUCCACUUUGGUGGCCCAGGGUUCGCAGGUUAGGAUCCCGGGUGCAGACCUACACAUCACUCAUCAAGCCAUGCUGUGGCAGCAUCCCAUUUACAAAAUAGAGGAAGAUUGGCACAGAUAUUAGCUCAAGGCUAAACUUCCUCAGCAAAAAGAGGAAGAUUGGCAACAGAUGUUAGCUCAGCGACAAUCUUCAUCACACACACACAAAAAGAUAGAAUCUAGCUCAGCAGACGAGCAGCAGCCUGGGCCUGAGGAUGAAACUCAGUGUGGAAUUUCAGGCCACUCAUGAGCUGCCCAGCCAGCUCUGUCUUCCUGCGGCCCCAGCAUCCUGGGGAACUCUCAGCUGUGCAUCCCCAAGCAUACUGCACAAUAUCUGGAAUCUUCUUUGCCUGAGUUCCUGUCAUCUCAGACCCUAAUUCCAACUUUCUGUGGGACCUGCUCAGCAUCUCCGCUUUGUUGUGAAUGGAAUGGGAGUAAUACUGGCUUUAUGAGGUCAUUACGAGGAAGAAGAGAUAAAGUACAUGAGGAGAGUAUUUGCCAAAAUGCCUGGUACAUGCUCACUCUUCUCACGGUUCAAAUGAAGCUGCACACGGAAGAUCCUCUAGAGGUCUUCACUUGUUUACAUGUCACGCUAAGGUUCAUCCAGCUUCGGCCCAGAUUGCAAAUGAUAAGGCAAAGUCCACUCAUUCUAUUAAAAUCCAUCUCCUGCCAUAUGAAGAAAGAAAAGAUAAUUAUGAGAAUGCGUUUACAGUUAAAUUCAGAUAUCUAUACAUGAGAUGUGAAGAAAAGUUUGUAUUCACCACAUAGUGACACGCAGAUGCAGACACACAUUAAAAUAUAGUCAUCAGGGGCCACAGAUAUAUUAUGAAAGAGGAAAUGUGUGCAGGGAAAAAUAAGAUUCCGCUGAAAGAAACAAAACCCUUUUGCCUCCAGAACUCUCAUUUUGAGGUGUGGAAGAGGACCCUCCGUGGUGGUCAGCAAGUUGCGGCUGUUAUAAACUUAGAGCAAAUGGACGUUCGGACACUUUUGUUACAUGUUUACAUCAAAAGGAAAUGAGAGCAAACAAUAUGGAGUGACUGGGCAUUGCAGCAGCUGAAUCCAUCUCAUAAAGCAAAACUACUGCCAUUUAUGUAACCAAAUGACUAUUGGGGAGAGAGAUUACUUCCAAUUAAAAAAAAAAGUCAGGCCUGAUGGCCUAGUGGUUAAAGUUUGGCGCGCUUCACUUCAGUGGCCCGGGUUCAGUUCCCAGGCGCAGGGCCACUCUGCUCCUCUGUCAGUAGCCAUGCUGUGGCCAUGGCUCACACAGAAGAACCAGGAGAACUUACAAAUACACAACUAUCUAGUAGGGCUUUGGGGGGUGAGGUGGAAGGAAGAAAAACGGAAGAAGAUUGGCAACAGAUGCUAGCUUAGGGUGCAUCUUCCCCUGUGAGAAAACAAACAAAAGAAAAAACACCUACAACUUAAAAAAAACACUUAAAUGAGAUAUGUUUCUCAAGAAGGCCAAACGUUAAAAAUGAACCUCAAUAAAAUAGGAAAAAAAGAAAAAAGCUGUGCUGGCUCUGUGAGCAGAAAAUGAAGGAAAAAUUAGUGUUCUGGUCUCAGUGUCUGCCAGCAUCAGGCAGCAGCUAUGACAAAGCAUUAAACUAUAAUUGCUCAGAAACUGCCACAUACAUCAAAGAACAAAGUAUGGGAGCAGACAACAGCAAUGGCCACAGAAAGCCCAUUUUCAGAGAAAUGAUUUGGUAUUUCUGUGGAGCAACAACUCAAAAUGCACUAUAAAAUUAUAAUAUUUUGAAAUUUACUGAAGUCCAAGUACAAGAUUUAUAUUUCUGAAGAGUAAUGAAUUACCUAAGUACACCCUGCAAAGAGGUCUCUGCAUGUUCAAAACUUCACUCCCCCCACCUCCGUGACAUUAUGUGACGCUUGCUCUGAAUAUUUACCUUCUACUGAGUCUAAAGCUUAUGACACCGUUGGUGGCUAAGCAGUCCUUCGGGCAUUUUGAAGAUGCUAUUCUAUCGUAAGCAUCUUGCACCGAUCCUUCGAGAUUCUUGAAAGCCAAUACAGCAAAUGGAAGAGAAAUCCCAAUCAGGCAGCUUGGUCACAGAGAAAGCAAAGUGAAAUAUUUGAUGGAGCAGCAAAAACCAACGGAUCAUCAAAAAAGAUUUACCAGCUGAGCAGCAGCAACUGGUGGUACCAGAACACCCUUCCCCCAAAGCAAUUACAAGCUGCGCUCUGCCAGCCAGUUAGGAUGGAAAGGAAAAUGCCCAUCAUGAAAAUCAAGGCUGAAAGGAAGAAAGACAACCCUUUACAGAAUAAAUAUAAUAGAAUAUAAUAAAUAUAAUAGAAGAAAUAAAUAUAAUAGAAAUAAUAAAUAAUAGAAAUAAAUAUAAUACAAG